RNAcentral lists this ribosomal RNA (459 nucleotides) under uncultured bacterium. RNAcentral's name for it is "partial 16S ribosomal RNA". It matches the Rfam family "Bacterial small subunit ribosomal RNA", at positions 338 to 795 of the family's 1533-position model. The record is from RNAcentral.
CCUACGGGGGGCAGCAGUGGGGAAUCUUCCGCAAUGGGCGAAAGCCUGACGGAGCAACGCCGCGUGAUCGAAUGAAGGCCUUCGGGUUGUAAACCUCUUUUGUCGGAGAACAAAACCCGGGACGUGUCCCGGACUGCGUGUAUCCGAAGAAAAAGCAUCGGCUAACUCCGUGCCAGCAGCCGCGGUAAUACGGAGGAUGCGAGCGUUAUCCGGAUUUAUUGGGUUUAAGGGGUGCGUAGGCGGUCCGUUAAGUCAGCGGUAAAAUGUCGGGGCUCAACCCCGUCGAGCCGUUGAAACUGGCAGACUUGAGUACAGUAGAGGUGGGCGGAAUUCGUGGUGUAGCGGUGAAAUGCAUAGAUAUCACGAAGAACUCCGAUUGCGAAGGCAGCUCACUGGACUGCAACUGACGCUGAUGCUCGAAAGUGUGGGUAUCAAACAGGAUUAGAUACCCUGGUAGUC